UGCACUUCGGUGCGGCCAACCGCCGUGGAGCUGUCUCUUCACUGUUUCCUCCGUCGUGCUCUGGAAGCCGGGGAGGAACGCUGGAAUCGGUUGCCUGUGCGGUUGUACCCUCGUGCGGUAUUUUUCCGUCCGACUUGCGAUGCUUGCGACGUCGAUAGCUUCUGUCGACGGGCGCGGCCGAGUUGACGGCACGGUACGUGCGCGGUUUCGGGCGGAGGCCCUGUCGCCGCGGGCGUAUUUUGUCGGCUCUCACGGAUGCGGUGCCCAUCGAGGAUUCCGCGGGCCUAUGUUAUGUAUGGCUUGCGGAUUUCUUCGGGACGUCCGUUGCGCGUGGACUGUUGCUCCKCUCUCUCAUGAGAGGGAGUCGUUGCUGCKCUGCKCGCGCGAGAUGUUUGUCCCGUCGGACCGAACCGAAUGAGCGACUGUCGUGCGUCGCCUCGCGACGGUGCUCCCCUGUCCCCGUCUUUGGGCGCGGGCGCGGGGUGCGCCGGUCUCGGAGCGCGCCGGCUCUCGUUUAGGACGUGCUACCUGGUUGAUCCUGCC
RNAcentral lists this unclassified non-coding RNA (543 nucleotides) under Schoenus pennisetis. RNAcentral describes it as "partial external transcribed spacer 1". The record is from RNAcentral. Lineage: Eukaryota; Viridiplantae; Streptophyta; Magnoliopsida; Poales; Cyperaceae.